GUGCAGACCAUUAUGCUGAACAUUUUGUAUAAACAAUCUGACCGUGCAGUUUGCUCCCUGGUCAGUCUUGGACCCAAGCAUGGGUUGACAUUAGUUGCUAGUUGUUACAUUUCAUCCUGGUUUGGCUGAAGAUCUGAGUGGCAGUUCUAAGCCUUCUGGAAACUUAGCACAGGGUUGCAACAGAGCAGGUGCUGCUGUCGGGACUCAUAGGUGUCGUCUCCUGGAAGAGGCCUC
Molecule: long non-coding RNA, 234 nt
Filed under: Pan troglodytes (chimpanzee)
Lineage: Eukaryota; Metazoa; Chordata; Mammalia; Primates; Hominidae
Description: long non-coding RNA NONPTRT005278
Source: RNAcentral